AGGGUUGUAGCUCAGUCGUAGAGUGCUCGCCUGGUGCGUGAGAGACACUGGGUUCGAUCCUCAGCACCACAU
RNAcentral lists this transfer RNA (72 nucleotides) under Ictidomys tridecemlineatus (thirteen-lined ground squirrel). Its description in RNAcentral is "Spermophilus tridecemlineatus (thirteen-lined ground squirrel) tRNA". It matches the Rfam family "tRNA". From Rfam's summary of the family: Transfer RNA (tRNA) molecules are approximately 80 nucleotides in length. Their secondary structure includes four short double-helical elements and three loops (D, anti-codon, and T loops). The record is from Rfam by way of RNAcentral. Lineage: Eukaryota; Metazoa; Chordata; Mammalia; Rodentia; Sciuridae.